CAGUAGCCGCGGUAAUACGAAGGGUGCAAGCGUUACUCGGAAUUACUGGGCGUAAAGCGUGCGUAGGUGGUGGUUUAAGUCCGUUGUGAAAGCCCUGGGCUCAACCUGGGAAUUGCAGUGGAUACUGGGUCACUAGAGUGUGGUAGAGGAUAGUGGAAUUUCCGGUGUAGCAGUGAAAUGCGUAGAGAUCGGAAGGAACAUCUGUGGCGAAGGCGACUAUCUGGGCCAACACUGACACUGAGGCACGAAAGCGUGGGGAGCAAACAGGAUUAGAUACCCGCGUAGUCCCUGUCUCUUAUAA
This 301-nucleotide ribosomal RNA is filed under the name uncultured bacterium. RNAcentral describes it as "partial 16S ribosomal RNA". It matches the Rfam family "Bacterial small subunit ribosomal RNA", at positions 509 to 809 of the family's 1533-position model. The record is from RNAcentral.